RNAcentral lists this ribosomal RNA (253 nucleotides) under uncultured bacterium. RNAcentral describes it as "partial 16S ribosomal RNA". It matches the Rfam family "Bacterial small subunit ribosomal RNA", at positions 524 to 776 of the family's 1533-position model. The record is from RNAcentral.
UACGAAGGGGGCUAGCGUUGUUCGGAAUUACUGGGCGUAAAGCGCACGUAGGCGGGUCGUUAAGUCAGGGGUGAAAUCCCAGAGCUCAACUCUGGAACUGCCUUUGAUACUGGCGACCUAGAGUUCGGAAGAGGUUAGUGGAACUGCGAGUGUAGAGGUGAAAUUCGUAGAUAUUCGCAAGAACACCAGUGGCGAAGGCGGCUCACUGGCCCGGUACUGACGCUGAGGUGCGAAAGCGUGGGGAGCAAACAGG